GACGAACGCUGGCGGCGUGCUUAACACAUGCAAGUCGAACGGAAAGGCCCUGCUUUUGUGGGGUGCUCGAGUGGCGAACGGGUGAGUAACACGUGAGUAACCUGCCCUUGACUUUGGGAUAACUUCAGGAAACUGGGUCUAAUACCGGAUAGGAGCUCCUGCUGCAUGGUGGGGGUUGGAAAGUUUCGGCGGUUGGGGAUGGACUCGCGGCUUAUCAGCUUGUUGGUGGGGUAGUGGCUUACCAAGGCUUUGACGGGUAGCCGGCCUGAGAGGGUGACCGGUCACAUUGGGACUGAGAUACGGCCCAGACUCCUACGGGAGGCAGCAGUGGGGAAUAUUGCACAAUGGGCGGAAGCCUGAUGCAGCAACGCCGCGUGCGGGAUGACGGCCUUCGGGUUGUAAACCGCUUUCGCCUGUGACGAAGCGUGAGUGACGGUAAUGGGUAAAGAAGCACCGGCUAACUACGUG
This 468-nucleotide ribosomal RNA is filed under the name uncultured bacterium. Its description in RNAcentral is "partial 16S ribosomal RNA". It matches the Rfam family "Bacterial small subunit ribosomal RNA", at positions 28 to 507 of the family's 1533-position model. The record is from RNAcentral.